AAGUGGAGCAAUCCAUAAGUACAGUGGCGUACGGGUGAGUAACACGUGACUAACCUACCCUCGAGUGGGGAAUAACCUCGGGAAACCGGGGCUAAUACCGCAUAACAUCUACGGAUCAAAUGCGUAAGCAGCUUGAGGAGGGGGUCGCGGCCGAUUAGCUAGUUGGCGGGGUAAUGGCCCACCAAGGCAAUGAUCGGUAGCCGGCCUGAGAGGGCGCACGGCCACACUGGAACUGAAACACGGUCCAGACUCCUACGGGAGGCAGCAGUGGGGAAUUUUGCGCAAUGGGGGAAACCCUGACGCAGCAACGCCGCGUGGAGGAUGAAGCCCCUUGGG
This 336-nucleotide ribosomal RNA is filed under the name uncultured bacterium. RNAcentral describes it as "bacterial SSU rRNA". It matches the Rfam family "Bacterial small subunit ribosomal RNA", at positions 72 to 422 of the family's 1533-position model. The record is from RNAcentral.